GCGGUAAGACGUAGGACGCGAGCGUUAUCCGGAUUUACUGGGCGUAAAGCGCCUGCAGGCGGUCAGGUAAGUCGGUUGUGAAAGCCCCGUGCUCAACGCGGGGAGGCCAAGCGAUACUGCGUGACUUGAGGGCGGAAGAGGGGAGUGGAAUUCCCGGUGUAGCGGUAAAAUGCGCAGAUAUCGGGAGGAACACCAGUGGCGAAGGCGGCUCCCUGGACCGCACCUGACGCUCAGAGGCGAAAGCUAGGGGAGCGAACAGGAUUAGAGACCCUGGUAGUCCUAGCCCUAAACGCUGGAUGCUAGGUGUAGGGCUGAUGAGGCUCUGUGCCGGAGCGAACGCGAUAAGCAUCCCGCCUGGGAACUACGGCCGCAAGGCUAAAACUCAAACGAAUUGACGGGGACCCGCACAAGCAGCGGAGCGUGUGGUUUAAUUCGAUGCUACACGAAGAACCUUACCUGGGUUUGACAUGUUGGUGGUACUGAACCGAAAGGGGAGGGACCCUUCGGGGAGCCAACACAGGUGCUGCAUGGCUGUCGUCAGCUCGUGCCGUGAGGUGUUGGGUUAAGUCCCGUAACGAGCGCAACCCUUGCUCUUAGUUAUACGUGUCUAAGGGGACUGCCGGCGACAAGCCGGAGGAAGGUGGGGAUGACGUCAAGUCAGCA
RNAcentral lists this ribosomal RNA (663 nucleotides) under uncultured Chloroflexota bacterium. RNAcentral's name for it is "bacterial SSU rRNA". It matches the Rfam family "Bacterial small subunit ribosomal RNA", at positions 517 to 1195 of the family's 1533-position model. Lineage: Bacteria; Bacillati; Chloroflexota. The record is from RNAcentral.